This is a long non-coding RNA of Lotus japonicus, 368 nucleotides long. RefSeq lists it as uncharacterized. The record is from RefSeq and is a predicted model, not a curated record. The transcript has 2 exons. NCBI's taxonomy places the organism in Eukaryota, Viridiplantae, Streptophyta, Magnoliopsida, Fabales, Fabaceae.
UAGAAAGAGAGAAAUCAGAAUUUGAGAAUUGGAGAAGUUAGCAGAGGAGAAGAAAAGAAGCGUGAAAGAGAGAAGGGGAGAAAAGAGAAGAAAAACCUAGAAUUUGAUCUUCAAGAGGUACUGGAGGUAGAGAUGUGGCUCAUGAGGAGUAGCUUCGGAGAGUCUUAGUUUAUGUUAUUAUUAUUAUUAUAAUAAAAUAAGUGUCUUGCUCUGUAAUGUAACACUGGGUAGAUAUUUUAAGUUACUUUUACAUUUUUGUUGAGAGGAUUUUAUAACCUCUCCUUAUGGAAGUUGUUGAAUAAUUUUCUAAAUUAUGACGAUGUCGUACUGUUGAUGGCUCAAGUGCCUAUGAAAUUCAGUUUUGAGUA